RNAcentral lists this ribosomal RNA (499 nucleotides) under uncultured bacterium. Its description in RNAcentral is "partial 16S ribosomal RNA". It matches the Rfam family "Bacterial small subunit ribosomal RNA", at positions 30 to 523 of the family's 1533-position model. The record is from RNAcentral.
AUUGAACGCUGGCGGCAGGCCUAACACAUGCAAGUCGAGCGGAUGAGAGGAGCUUGCUCUUCGAUUCAGCGGCGGACGGGUGAGUAAUGCCUAGGAAUCUGCCUAGUAGCGGGGGACAACGUUUCGAAAGGAACGCUAAUACCGCAUACGUCCUACGGGAGAAAGUGGGGGAUCUUCGGACCUCACGCUAUUAGAUGAGCCUAGGUCGGAUUAGCUAGUUGGUAGGGUAACGGCCUACCAAGGCGACGAUCCGUAACUGGUCUGAGAGGAUGAUCAGUCACACUGGAACUGAGACACGGUCCAGACUCCUACGGGAGGCAGCAGUGGGGAAUAUUGGACAAUGGGCGAAAGCCUGAUCCAGCCAUGCCGCGUGUGUGAAGAAGGCCCUCGGGUCGUAAAGCACUUUAAGUUGGGAGGAAGGGCUUACAGCGAAUACCUGUGAGUUUUGACGUUACCGACAGAAUAAGCACCGGCUAACUUCGUGCCAGCCGCCCGGUAA